RNAcentral lists this ribosomal RNA (1403 nucleotides) under uncultured bacterium. RNAcentral describes it as "bacterial SSU rRNA". It matches the Rfam family "Bacterial small subunit ribosomal RNA". The record is from RNAcentral.
AGAGUUUGAUCCUGGCUCAGAACGAACGCUGGCGGCGCGUCUUAAGCAUGCAAGUCGAACGGCAAGAUUAGUGCUUGCACUAAUCCUAGAGUGGCGGACUGGUGAGUAACGCGUGGGUGACGUACCCUUUUGAUGGGGAUAGCUACUAGAAAUAGUAGAUAAUACCGAAUACGAUUCCGUAAGUUAGAGGUGCGGAAUGAAAGGAGCUUCGGCUCCGCAGAAGGAACGGCCCGCGUACCAUUAGCUAGUUGGUGUGGUAACGGCAUACCAAGGCGAUGAUGGUUACCCGGCCUAAGAGGGUGAACGGCCACACUGGGACUGAGACACGGCCCAGACUCCUACGGGAGGCAGCAGUAGGGAAUCUUCGGCAAUGGGCGAAAGCCUGACCGAGCAACGCCGCGUGAAUGAUGAAGGCCUUCGGGUUGUAAAAUUCUGUUAUAAGGGAAGAACGACUUUAGUAGGAAAUGGCUAAAGUGUGACGGUACCUUAUGAGAAAGCCACGGCUAACUACGUGCCAGCAGCCGCGGUAAUACGUAGGUGGCAAGCGUUAUCCGGAAUUAUUGGGCGUAAAGAGCGCGCAGGUGGUUGAUUAAGUCUGAUGUGAAAGCCCACGGCUUAACCGUGGAGGGUCAUUGGAAACUGGUCGACUUGAGUGCAGAAGAGGGAAGUGGAAUUCCAUGUGUAGCGGUGAAAUGCGUAGAGAUAUGGAGGAACACCAGUGGCGAAGGCGGCUUCCUGGUCUGUAACUGACGCUGAGGCCCGAAAGCGUGGGGAGCAAACAGGAUUAGAUACCCUGGUAGUCCACGCCGUAAACGAUGAUUACUAGGUGUGGGGGGUCUGACCCCUUCCGUGCCGCAGUUAACGCAAUAAGUAAUCCACCUGGGGAGUACGGCCGCAAGGCUGAAACUCAAAGGAAUUGACGGGGGCCCGCACAAGCAGUGGAUUAUGUGGUUUAAUUCGAAGCAACGCGAAGAACCUUACCAGGACUUGACAUCCCUCUGACCGGCUCUUAACCGAGCCUUUCCUUCGGGACAGAGGUGACAGGUGGUGCAUGGUUGUCGUCAGCUCGUGUCGUGAGAUGUUGGGCUAAGUCCCGCAACGAGCGCAACCCUUGCCAUUAGUUGCCAUCAUUCAGUUGGGCACUCUAGUGGGACUGCCGGGGACAACUCGGAGGAAGGUGGGGAUGACGUCAAAUCAUCAUGCCCCUUAUGUUCUGGGCUACACACGUGCUACAAUGGCCGGUACAGAAAGCAGCAAUGCCGCGAGGCGGAGCGAAUCUCGAAAACCGGUCCCAGUUCGGACUGCAGGCUGCAACCCGCCUGCACGAAGCCGGAGUUGCUAGUAAUCGCGGAUCAGAAUGCCGCGGUGAAUGCGUUCCCGGGUCUUGCACUCACCGCCCGUCA